Molecule: small RNA, 940 nt
Filed under: Pan troglodytes (chimpanzee)
Lineage: Eukaryota; Metazoa; Chordata; Mammalia; Primates; Hominidae
Description: retained intron
Source: RNAcentral
GGACUGGGCCGGCGCCGGGCAGGGAACUGGUUCGCGACCGCAGCCGAGAGACCCCGGGCGACCGGCACCUCCGAGCCUCGCGGGCCACCUGCCUCGACCUUCCCCGGAGCGCCCCCGCCUCCGAGUCGCUACUUGCCGGGCCGGGCCGGGCGUGAUGCGCCGCGGGACCCCUGUCCUGGCCACUGGCCGCCGCCGCCGCCGCCGCUGAGACCCCGAGACCCCCAGUGACGCCGCAGCCAUGGAGAGCGGCCCGCGUGCGGAGCUGGGGGCGGGCGCACCCCCAGCUGUGGUCGCCAGGACCCCCCCAGAGCCAAGACCUUCUCCAGAAGGUGACCCUUCCCCCCCACCACCACCGAUGUCAGCCCUGGUCCCCGACACUCCCCCGGACACCCCUCCUGCCAUGAAGAAUGCCACUAGCUCUAAGCAGCUCCCACUGGAACCAGAGAGCCCCUCAGGGCAGGUCGGGCCUAGGCCAGCCCCCCCGCAGGAAGAGUCCCCUUCCUCUGAAGCAAAGAGCAGAGGACCCACCCCAACAGCCACGGGCCCACGGGAUGCCAGACCUCCUCGAAGGAGCAGCCAGCCAUCUCCAACAGCAGUGCCAGCCUCCGACAGCCCUCCCACCAAGCAAGAGGUGAAGAAGGCAGGAGAGAGACACAAGCUGGCAAAGGAGCGGCGAGAAGAGCGGGCCAAGUACCUGGGUGAGUGAGCAGGAAGCCUCAUCAUCUUCUUCAUCGUCAUCAUCAGCAUCCUAUUAAUAACACCAACAGGCUGGGGCGCAGUGGCUCACGCCUGUAAUCCCAGCACUUUGGGAGGCCGAGGCGGGCGAAUCACCUGAGGUCGGGAGUUUGAGACUAGCCUGACCAAUGUGGAGAAACCCUGUCUCUACUAAAAAUACAAAAAAUUAGCCAGGCAUGGUGGCACAUCCCUGUAAUCCCAGCUA